AAGAAAUAUUAGAAUGAUUACAAACAUAUCUUAAACACAUUUCAAUUCAAUCUUAAUUUAAUCCUAGUUGAAAUCUUACUUCAUUCCAACUUCAGCCCAAAAACUAAGUAAUUCUUAAAUCCUAAAUAAUCUCAAAUAAUACUCUAAAUCCUAAAUCAAAUCUUCAUCAAAUCCUAACUAAAUCUUAAAUUCUAAACCAAAUAUUAAACCCUAAAUCAAACCUGAACCAAUCUCUAAACCAUAAAUCAAAUCCUAAUCCUAAAUCAAACCCUAACCAAAUUCUAAACCCUAAACCAAAUCCUAAUCCUAAAUCAAACCCUAACCAAAUCCUAAACCCUAAAUCAAACUCUAAUCCUAAACCAAAUCCUAAUCCUAAAUCAAAUCCUAACCACUC
RNAcentral lists this long non-coding RNA (394 nucleotides) under Physcomitrium patens. RNAcentral describes it as "long non-coding RNA (PPAT_LNC001527)". Lineage: Eukaryota; Viridiplantae; Streptophyta; Bryopsida; Funariales; Funariaceae. The record is from RNAcentral.